RNAcentral lists this transfer RNA (68 nucleotides) under Myrmecobius fasciatus (numbat). RNAcentral describes it as "transfer RNA-Thr". It matches the Rfam family "tRNA". Rfam says of the family: Transfer RNA (tRNA) molecules are approximately 80 nucleotides in length. Their secondary structure includes four short double-helical elements and three loops (D, anti-codon, and T loops). The record is from RNAcentral. Lineage: Eukaryota; Metazoa; Chordata; Mammalia; Dasyuromorphia; Myrmecobiidae.
GUCCAAGUAAUUUAGCUAAAAUACUGGUCUAGUAAACCAGCAACGAAGGUUGACCCCUUCCUAGGACA